GAAAUGAGCAAUUUUGGGUCAUUGGUGGUAUAUCAGCUCACCUCUUUGCUGUUGUGCAAGGUCUUCUGAAGGUUUUAGCCGGUAUUGACACAAACUUCACAGUUACAUCCAAGGCAACUGACGAUGAAGAGUUUGGAGAACUAUACACUUUUAAAUGGACAACGCUCCUGAUACCUCCAACUACCAUCCUAAUCAUCAACCUUGUUGGCGUUGUUGCUGGAGUUUCAGAUGCCAUAAACAAUGGAUACCAAUCAUGGGGGCCAUUAUUUGGGAAGCUCUUCUUUGCCUUCUGGGUGAUUGUCCAUCUCUACCCAUUCCUGAAAGGUCUGAUGGGACGGCAAAAUAGGACACCAACCAUUGUUGUUAUCUGGUCUGUUCUCUUGGCUUCAAUCUUCUCCUUGCUUUGGGUUCGAAUAGACCCAUUUGUCAUGAAAACCAAGGGUCCUGACACCAAAAAAUGUGGAAUCAACUGCUAAGAAGUUCGUUUUAUAUGUGCAUCUCUGGAAGAUA
RNAcentral lists this unclassified non-coding RNA (510 nucleotides) under Hevea brasiliensis (rubber tree). The record is from RNAcentral. Lineage: Eukaryota; Viridiplantae; Streptophyta; Magnoliopsida; Malpighiales; Euphorbiaceae.